CCUACGGGUGGCAGCAGUGGGGAAUAUUGGACAAUGGGCGAAAGCCUGAUCCAGCCAUGCCGCGUGUGUGAAGAAGGCCUUCGGGUUGUAAAGCACUUUCAGUGGGGAAGAAAGCCUUGGGGCUAAUACCCUCGAGGAAGGACAUCACCCACAGAAGAAGCACCGGCUAACUCCGUGCCAGCAGCCGCGGUAAUACGGAGGGUGCGAGCGUUAAUCGGAAUUACUGGGCGUAAAGCGCGCGUAGGCGGUCUGAUAAGCCGGUUGUGAAAGCCCCGGGCUCAACCUGGGAACGGCAUCCGGAACUGUCAGGCUAGGGUGCAGGAGAGGAAGGUAGAAUUCCCGGUGUAGCGGUGAAAUGCGUAGAGAUCGGGAGGAAUACCAGUGGCGAAGGCGGCCUUCUGGACUGACACUGACGCUGAGGUGCGAAAGCGUGGGUAGCAAACAGGAUUAGAUACCCUAGUAGUC
This 465-nucleotide ribosomal RNA is filed under the name Vreelandella stevensii. RNAcentral describes it as "partial 16S ribosomal RNA". It matches the Rfam family "Bacterial small subunit ribosomal RNA", at positions 338 to 795 of the family's 1533-position model. Lineage: Bacteria; Pseudomonadati; Pseudomonadota; Gammaproteobacteria; Oceanospirillales; Halomonadaceae. The record is from RNAcentral.